Long non-coding RNA from Aethalodelphis obliquidens (Pacific white-sided dolphin), 1426 nucleotides. RefSeq lists it as uncharacterized. The record is from RefSeq and is a predicted model, not a curated record. NCBI's taxonomy places the organism in Eukaryota, Metazoa, Chordata, Mammalia, Artiodactyla, Delphinidae. The transcript has 3 exons.
CCAAAUGUAAUGUUUCACGACCUAUUUUUUUCCAUGAAUAUUCAUUCUUUCUACAGUUGGAGGAAAAUAUUGUCAUUUAUAUGGAACUUAAAAACAUCACUAAAAUAAAAACAUCUGGUAAAAAUAGGCCAAUAUGUUAAAAUCCAAGAGGACGCAUUUGGGCUUUUUGUAUUCUGCUUUUUCCUCAUAAAAGGUCAAAUUCUUCGUAGAACUUCAUCUGUGUAUUAGGAAAUGCCGAACUGUUUAUCAAACAGCUGCACUACUAUACAUCCUCACCAGGAAUGUAUGAGUCUUCCAAUAGAUUUCCUACUGGUAGAGAGAUACACAAUGGAGAAAAGACAGUCUCUUCAAUUAGUGCUGCUGGGAAAACUGAACAGCUACAUGGCAGAAGAAUGAAAGUAGAGAAUAAUUAUUUUCAAGAACGAAAGCCACAACGUGCCACAGACUGAAUUCAAACUAUCAAAUGGUUUUCCAAAAGAUUCAAAUAAAUCUGAAAUUAUCUCCAUGACCUCCAGAGCUCCCUCUCCAAUCUAGUCUCCUCCCUACUCCUCACCCCUGACUCAUUGCAUUCUAGACCCUCUACCCUUUUGGCUGCUCUUAAGUGUGCCCAAAACACACCUAACUGAGGACAUUUGCACCAGUUAUUCAUUAUGCCUUAAAUAUUCUCCCCACAACUCAUUCUCUUAUCCCAUUCAAGUUUCUCCUCAAAUACUUCUGCUUCUAAAACACCUUCCCUUGCAACCUUAUCAAAAAGUUACAUGCCUUGUUACCUUUUCCAUUUUUCUUACUGUGUUAUAAAGCAUCAACAUUAUAUUGCAUAAUGAUGUAUUUAUUGCUUGUUUCUUUUACUAAAAUGUAAACUGUAUGAAGGUAAGAAUUUUCUAUUGAAAAUUUUCAUAUCCUUGGCCCCUAGAAUAGUGUCUAAUACAUAAAAGAUGCAUAUUAAAUUUUGGGUUGAAUAAAUAAAAGAAAUUGUGACAGCAUGAAAGUUUCCUGACCUGUUCUACUGAAAAUACUAAUAGAUUAGAAGUUAGGAGAUCUGAUUUCUAGUUCUAGUUCUGCUAGUUAAAGUACAUAUCAGGCAACUCAACAUUCUCUAGUCACAAAUUUCUCACUUAUGGAAUUCGGAGUUUUAAAAUUCUGCAUGAUAUAGAGACCAUGGAAGAACUUGGUUGGACACAGGGCAUGUUUGUGAGUUGGGCUUAGAACAUAGUCCUUACUACAGCUAAAGUUUUUCUGCUUUUACCUAUUUUAUGUAUUGGGCUUCCAUAGACACUAGUGUUAAUGCUUGAAGAGCAGAUUUCAUGACUAAGGGAAAAAGAAUAAAAACAUAAUAUAGUUCUAAUUUGUUUAUGUGUUUUCUUCCUUGCUUGGAAUGGCUGUCUCUGUUUGGUAAAUAAAUGUAUCAUGAUUCAUUACAAUAAAA